UCUGUUGCUCCUCUGUAAAAUCUGUCAAGAAGUCUUCCUCUGGAGAAACAAACAGUGACCAUCAGGACACUGCAGAUGUAUCAGCCAAAUGUGUAAAUUACAGGUGACACUUCAGGCUCCCUACAAGCUCUGGGGCUGUGCUACUAAUUUUGAAGGCUGCACACCUGAACAAUUGACUCCAUGGACUCACCUUUCUCUGCCGGUCAGCUGUUAGGCCAGCAACGCUAACUUUCAAACUGAUGUACUCAAUAAUCUGAUGUGUCCAUCACUGCUCUGUUGGUCUUCCCUUCACCACAACCUCGAGGUUAUUCACCGCCUGGCUCCUUUGUCACUCUCCUCUGCUGCUGUGGUCUCCCCCGGCUCACGGCGAUGUUGGAUGGUCACUGCUCUGCCGUUGCUGUGUGCACGGGGCCUCCGGACGCCAGUUAGUUCAUAAUUCUUGGAAGCUGAGAGCCUAAGGUGGAGGUGUUGGUGUCUCCCGGUGGUGGUGGUGUCCCCUUCCUGUAUGCUGUGUUGUCGACCCCUGGUGUGAUCCUCCACAUGUGUGCACGUGUGAUUGUGGUGACUCUCUCCUGGAUACCUCACUCCCGGUGAUCCACCUCUCCACUGAUGCUGUGGAUGAAGUAAUCUGACGACAUGCCACGCCGCCGCUGAUGUGCGUGCGAAACACCUGAGGUGACUGACUCAUAUAGAGGCACUGUGCGCUGUGACAUGUACGAUUCUCCGGAGAGAGAGAAAGGGGGGCGCUUAAUGCCUCUGUUCAUGAUGAAGCAGCGAAUUAUGGAGACAGGGUGUGUCAUCUCAUUCUCUGCUCCUUUCAUCAUAAUCUCCCCCACCACGUUCAGAGGAAAACUCACUAGAGGCCAUCAGCCCCCUGAACCACAGCCGGGAACAUCACACAGAGAUCUACCUAUGGCCCAUUUCACCGUAUUCGCGCUCCUGCCACACUGACAGCUCAUGGAUUAAGAGCCAACAUCUUGAAGUUGGAGGAGUGUUAAGAGAGUCAAAUGUACAGUAAAAGAAGCGCCUCUGUGUGUGUACACGUGUGUGUGUGUGUGUGUUUUUGAGAGUGUCAGGUGCCGUGCAGCUGUUUCUGUUUUGUGCGUCGAUCGACGACCGACUGAAGUUUCAUGCAG
Long non-coding RNA from Acanthopagrus latus (yellowfin seabream), 1136 nucleotides. RefSeq lists it as uncharacterized. Lineage: Eukaryota; Metazoa; Chordata; Actinopteri; Spariformes; Sparidae. The record is from RefSeq and is a predicted model, not a curated record. The transcript is spliced from 3 exons.